GGCACCAUAUUGGCAUGAGAAGAUGCAGAUUUUGUUUAUUUUCAAUUGAUUUUUAUUUCAUUCAUUCAGGAAAAUAAACAAAAUCUGUGUCUUCAUAAGCAAAUAUGGUCCAAUGACUUGGACAGACAGGGGAGCCAACAUAACGCCAUAAGUACUAUUUCCAUACUAUUUUAAUUUUCACAUCAAUAAAAUGGCUGAAUGGCGGAACAGCAUCUAAAGUACACAGGGACCAAAGAGUAUAAAUGACAGGGACCGUGAAUAAUUAGAAUAUUUGACUUCUCAAAGCAAGACUUCAAGUAUUUAGCAUCCAAAAUGGAAGUGAAUAUAGAAUCACAACCAGAGUAUGACACUGCACUUAACGUAAGAUAGAGGGACUAUGGACAAAGUAACCUAGAAGAAAAACAAAAAUAUGAAGCCAUACAAGUAAUUGUAAAAGGAUGACUCCAAGAACCAGCGGCAUUGUGUGUAUAUGCUUUGUACGGUGAUAUUAUUAUCCUGUAUUGUCGUGCUAGAGAUUACAGACUCCAAGUCCGACUACACAAGUAGUAACAGACAUGUUUGCUUGGAGCGUGUGGUUUUUAAGUGGGUUGUAGUACCCAUACCAAUCGCAAGUUUAGCAAAAGCAUCAGCAGUCUCCUUGCCACAGAUACUGGAGUGACCUGGAAUGCAAGCCAAGUUAACAUUCAUGCCUUACUGUUGGCAUGCAUAUUGUAACUCACUGAUCCUUAAGGCAAUAGAAACUCUCACCUUACUUAUGGAAAGGGUUUUCCUUGAGUGCUUGUAAGAAGCUUAAGGAGUCUGUUAGUAUUAUAACUUUGUGUAUGUUAUUGGCUUCAAGUUCAACAAAAAGGAUUGCUUCUAAAAUGCCAAUAGACUCCUAUGAAUACUGAAGAUUGGGGGACACUUGAAUUGAAUACUUAUUUUGAAUUUAGGAAUCCAGCAUGCUACACCAACAGAACCGUUCUGAGAUAAUUUUGGGGAAAUCUGGCCAGUUGCUUUGAAUAAUUUCAUCAAAUUUAUGAUGAGCUUCCACUGUAUCCUUGUGAAUGCCAAAAUUAACUAUUGGGACCUUACAAGUCACUUUUAUAUGGGGUAGAAAAAAGGGGAAGUCUGGGCGAUGAGUUAAUAAGAUGAGGCAGGGAUUGUACAACCACAAGAAGGAUUACAUUAAAGAAUAAAAAACACAGACAGGGAAGAUACAAAAGGCGGCCUUAUCGCUAGCGAUCUCUACCAGGCAACCUUAAAGAUUGGAAAGUAUAAGGAAAAUUAGACUGCAGGUGGUGUGUAAUAUACUAAUAAACAUACAUUCAAAUAACUGAUACAUACUAAUACAUAAACCACUAAUACAUGUAUUAAAUAAUAUGUAUAAUACCAAUAUACUAAUAAAAUAGAUUAAUAUAUACUCUAUAAUCAUACUUAAGGAGAAACUAAAAUAUGAUUGUCGUCUUCAAUUUGUAAGAUAAUGCUUUUUCACUGCAGUUUUAAAGGAGUCUAGUGACUUUGAUUUGCGUAUGGUCAAUGGUAGUGCAUUCCAAAGUUCAACAGCUCGCACAGUGAAUGAGUUGCCAUAGAACUUCGUUUUGUGACUCAGCGUUCCUAAUAUUAAGGUUCGGCAGGAUCUUGUCGGUUUGCACUCCAAGAAAACUAAACUUCUCCUUGAGGUAAGGGGGAGUUUUUAAGUGAUAUAGCACACAGUACAGAA
Long non-coding RNA from Maniola jurtina (meadow brown), 1702 nucleotides. RefSeq lists it as uncharacterized. The transcript is spliced from 2 exons. NCBI's taxonomy places the organism in Eukaryota, Metazoa, Arthropoda, Insecta, Lepidoptera, Nymphalidae. The record is from RefSeq and is a predicted model, not a curated record.